UUUUUUGGGGUUUGGGGUCUUUGCUGCUCGCGCAGGCCCUCCUCCCCUCUAAUCCCCGUCGCCGCCCCUCUGCGACGUGAGCAGGCCCAGGGGAGGACGCCGGGACACCCGGAAGCCGGAAAUGCUGAGUGUGCGGGGCCGGACGUCCCGAGACCGGAGGAGGAGCUGGUGGAACCAGCCGGAUCUGGCUGUGGCGGGACCCGGGCCUGUCCGCUGCGACUCCGGGGUCUGGGACCCGAGUUCCCCUGGAGCAGCUCGGCCCUCGGUCCUCUCGGCCGCAGGGUGGGGCUGGGCCGGCAGCUGGGACUCCGGGAGUCCUGUCCUGUCCCUGCGCAGUGACUGUCGCCCCAGAGCCCUCUCUGGGCAGCUCCGCAUCUCCCCAGAUUGUGCGGGGGCCACGGGAGGAUCAUGGGGGGAUCCCGCCUCCGGCCUGGGGAUCCUGUGGGAGGAGCCAUGGCCUGUGGGCUCCCCAGUCCCGCCUUUCCCCCCGAAGGCGGCCCCCGCUUCUCCCUGAGUCUUCCAAAAGGUGUGCGAAGCCGGGUCUCCGCGACCCGGUCCCCCAGCCUCGCUCCCCCUUGG
This 579-nucleotide long non-coding RNA is filed under the name Homo sapiens (human). RNAcentral describes it as "non-protein coding lnc-OR10H1-3:1". Lineage: Eukaryota; Metazoa; Chordata; Mammalia; Primates; Hominidae. The record is from RNAcentral.